RNAcentral lists this long non-coding RNA (386 nucleotides) under Nicotiana benthamiana. Its description in RNAcentral is "long non-coding RNA (NBEN_LNC016612)". The record is from RNAcentral. Lineage: Eukaryota; Viridiplantae; Streptophyta; Magnoliopsida; Solanales; Solanaceae.
UCUUCUCCGGCGAGUUCUCGACGAACCUCCAGCAAAGUUGACCAAACUUUGACCGCGAUUUCUGGGCUCGUUUGAACUCCGAUUUCCAGCGAGUUCCUGGCGAACCUCCGACAAAGUUGACCAAACUUUGACCGCAAUUUCUGGGCUCGUUUGAACUCCGAUUAGGUCGCUGUUUGGUGCGUUGGACUCCGUUCGACGAGACGAAUCCAAUGGUGCCAUCAGAAUUGGAUUUCGAGCAAAGCUCCGGAAAACCCAAAUUUGGCCCGUCACCUAAAAGACUCGACCAACGCUCUAACCUACUCUGAUACCACUUGUUGGGGUAUGUGGAUCGAUUGAGCGUUGGUAAAUACAAAUUUGAGAGAAAAACAACCUCUAUUACUCACAAG